RNAcentral lists this ribosomal RNA (522 nucleotides) under uncultured bacterium. Its description in RNAcentral is "bacterial SSU rRNA". It matches the Rfam family "Bacterial small subunit ribosomal RNA", at positions 153 to 655 of the family's 1533-position model. The record is from RNAcentral.
GAAAGUUGGACUAAUACCGUAUACUGCAUAUUAUUCGCAUGAUUAAUAUGUAAAAGGAUGCUCUUUGGAGCACUCACAAAAGGAUGGGCCUGCGUUCCAUUAGUUAGUUGGUGAGGUAACGGCUCACCAAGGCAGCGAUGGAUAGCUGGUUUGAGAGAGUGAUCAGCCACACUGGGACUGAGAUACGGCCCAGACUCCUACGGGAGGCAGCAGUGAGGAAUAUUGCGCAAUGGAGGAAACUCUGACGCAGCAACGCCGCGUGGGGGAUGAAGUUCUAUGGAGCGUAAACCCCUGUAAGUAGGGACGAAAGGUAGAUAUUCGAAUAGGGUAUUUAUUUGACGGUACCUACAGAGUAAGCUCCGGCUAACUCCGUGCCAGCAGCCGCGGUAAUACGGGGGGAGCAAGCGUUGUCCGGAAUUACUGGGCGUAAAGGGCGUGUAGGCGGUUUAAUAAGUCAGAUGUUAAAGCCCCCGGCUUAACCGGGGAUAGUCAUUUGAAACUGUUAGGCUUGAGUGCGAGAGA